GUGCUUGCUCUGGUAGCACAUAUUCUAAAAUUGGGAAGAUACAGAGAUUAUUAGCAUGGCCUCUGCGCAAGGAUGACAUGAAAAUUAGGGACUGAUCACUCCAACAC
This is a small nuclear RNA of Suncus etruscus (white-toothed pygmy shrew), 107 nucleotides long. NCBI's taxonomy places the organism in Eukaryota, Metazoa, Chordata, Mammalia, Eulipotyphla, Soricidae. The record is from RefSeq and is a predicted model, not a curated record.